AUGACGCUCUUCGGGCACCACCGCAGCCGGCUGAGCCUGGCCAUCCACGAGGACAAGCUGGUGCCACCAGCGUUCCUCAAAGAGCUGCCCAUGCUGGUGUCCGUGCUGCACAGGGAGAUGGCCACGGGGACCAUGAAGCUGGCGCCGGAGAGCAACACCCGCAGCGUGCGGCGGCGACCAAGAAAAGAGGUUGAGAUAUGGGUGAAGGUCACGAACAAAUCAAAUGGAGAGAGGCGCAAGAAAUCCAAAAGAGCACACCCAGAGAAGAAAGAGCCGAUGGCCGGUGCAAGAAAUCCAAGGAAGAGUCGACAGGGACGGUGCUGGGACAUGAGCAUGGUUGCCCAACGAGUAUGA
RNAcentral lists this ribosomal RNA (354 nucleotides) under Triticum aestivum (bread wheat). RNAcentral's name for it is "partial small subunit ribosomal RNA". Lineage: Eukaryota; Viridiplantae; Streptophyta; Magnoliopsida; Poales; Poaceae. The record is from RNAcentral.